This 557-nucleotide ribosomal RNA is filed under the name uncultured bacterium. RNAcentral's name for it is "bacterial SSU rRNA". It matches the Rfam family "Bacterial small subunit ribosomal RNA", at positions 8 to 540 of the family's 1533-position model. The record is from RNAcentral.
AGAGUUUGAUCCUGGCUCAGAGCGAACGCUGGCGGCGUACUUAACACAUGCAAGUCGAACGGGGAUCAUCGGUGUAGCAAUACAUCGGUGGUCCUAGUGGCGCACGGGUGAGUAACACGUGGGUAACCUGCCCUAGAGUUCGGGAUACCCCCUCGAAAGGGGGGCUAAUACCGGAUACGUUCCUCGGGUCGACAGAUCUGGGGAGGAAAGGUGGCGCAAGCUGCCGCUCUUGGAGGGGCUCGCGGCCUAUCAGCUAGUUGGCGGGGUAACGGCCCACCAAGGCUAUGACGGGUAGCUGGUCUGAGAGGACGACCAGCCACACGGGGACUGAGACACGGCCCCGACUCCUACGGGAGGCAGCAGUGGGGAAUUUUCCGCAAUGGGCGAAAGCCUGACGGAGUGACGCUGCGUGUGGGACGAAGGCCUUCGGGUCGUAAACCACUGUCAGUGGGAAAGAAGGGUGUCGACGCUAAUACCGUCGGCACCUGACGGUACCUGCAGAGGAAGCCCCGGCCAACUCUGUGCCAGCAGCCGCGGUAAGACAGAGGGGGCAAGCG